This 286-nucleotide small nuclear RNA is filed under the name Balearica regulorum gibbericeps (East African grey crowned-crane). RNAcentral describes it as "Balearica pavonina gibbericeps 7SK RNA". It matches the Rfam family "7SK RNA". From Rfam's summary of the family: 7SK was discovered as an abundant small nuclear RNA in the mid-70s but a possible function has only recently been suggested. Two independent studies have found that 7SK RNA binds the CDK9/cyclin T complex (known as elongation factor P-TEFb). P-TEFb activates transcription by phosphorylating the C-terminal domain of RNA polymerase II. Lineage: Eukaryota; Metazoa; Chordata; Aves; Gruiformes; Gruidae. The record is from Rfam by way of RNAcentral.
GAGCAGCAGAGUGAAAGUCUGUCUCCUCACUGAUUACUGGAAUGGACUUGGCUGAUCUGGCUGGCUAAGUGAAUUUUUCAUCUCUCCUCAACAACACCUUUCUGCAAACCUCCCAAAGCUGCACACUGAAAUGAGAAGUACCAUGCUCUGUGUCAGGCACAACAGUGUCUCCUCCUAGAUUCUCCAAACAAGAUUAAAGUCCAUUUGCAGAACACAGAGCAGCCAAGCCUCCAAGUCUUUAGACAUGUCCCAGUGAAGGUCUGUAUACUGCAAUUUGCCUUUCAUU